AUAAAGGUAUUUGCAGCAGCUUAUAUAAGUCCAUAAUCGGUUGGACGUUUCUACCAACUACCGUAAUAGUUGCCUAUAAGUCUUAUUCAGGGUAUC
RNAcentral lists this non-coding RNA (96 nucleotides) under Blautia sp. CAG:257. Its description in RNAcentral is "Purine riboswitch aptamer". It matches the Rfam family "Purine riboswitch aptamer". Rfam says of the family: Riboswitches are metabolite binding domains within certain messenger RNAs that serve as precision sensors for their corresponding targets. Allosteric rearrangement of mRNA structure is mediated by ligand binding, and this results in modulation of gene expression. A class of riboswitches that selectively recognises guanine and becomes saturated at concentrations as low as 5 nM. The record is from Rfam by way of RNAcentral. Lineage: Bacteria; Bacillati; Bacillota; Clostridia; Lachnospirales; Lachnospiraceae. RNAcentral also lists the same sequence under 1 other name.